AGAGUUUGAUCCUGGCUCAGAACGAACGCUGGCGGCAGGCCUAACACAUGCAAGUCGAGCGCCCCGCGAGGGGAGCGGCGGACGGGUGAGUAACGCGUGGGAACGUGCCCUCUGGUUCGGAAUAGCCCUGGGAAACUGGGGGUAAUACCGGAUGUGGUCGAGAGACGAAAGAUUUAUCGCCAGGGGAUCGGCCCGCGUUGGAUUAGGUAGUUGGUGGGGUAAUGGCCUACCAAGCCGACGAUCCAUAGCUGGUUUGAGAGGAUGAUCAGCCACACUGGGACUGAGACACGGCCCAGACACCUACGGGUGGCUGC
Molecule: ribosomal RNA, 314 nt
Filed under: uncultured bacterium
Lineage: Bacteria
Description: bacterial SSU rRNA
Rfam family: Bacterial small subunit ribosomal RNA
Source: RNAcentral